UACGAAGGGGGCUAGCGUUGCUCGGAAUUACUGGGCGUAAAGGGCGCGUAGGCGGAUAGUUCAGUUGGGGGUGAAAGCCCGGGGCUCAACCUCGGAACUGCCUUCAAUACUGGCUAUCUUGAGUACGGGAGAGGUGUGUGGAACUCCGAGUGUAGAGGUGAAAUUCGUAGAUAUUCGGAAGAACACCAGUGGCGAAGGCGGUUGCCUGGGGCUUUGCUGACGCUGAUGCGCGAAAGCGUGGGGAGCGAUCCGG
RNAcentral lists this ribosomal RNA (253 nucleotides) under uncultured bacterium. RNAcentral describes it as "partial 16S ribosomal RNA". It matches the Rfam family "Bacterial small subunit ribosomal RNA", at positions 524 to 776 of the family's 1533-position model. The record is from RNAcentral.